Long non-coding RNA from Cygnus olor (mute swan), 8326 nucleotides. RefSeq lists it as uncharacterized. The record is from RefSeq and is a predicted model, not a curated record. Lineage: Eukaryota; Metazoa; Chordata; Aves; Anseriformes; Anatidae. The transcript is spliced from 5 exons.
CAGUUAAUUUCACUAGGAAUCACCAUCACCUAUGAAAGUUGGUCAUUUAAUUACCAACACGUUUUGUAUACUUUAAACAAUUUUUAUGAGGACCUUCCCCCUGUUUCCAUGAUAUCUUAAUUUCUUUUUUUUUUUUUUGUAACUUUUUAAAACACCUUUAGAAAUGAAAAUACACUAUCAGCUGGAUCCACCUUACCCCUCUUUCUGUUGACUCCUUCAAAGAACUAUACCAGGCUGUAAAGUAUGAUUUCCCUUUACAAAAUGUCAUGGACUCUUUCCCAUUAUAUUUUAUUUAUCCAUGGAUUCUCUUUUCUAUUACAAUUUCUAUCAAUUAGCCUAGUACAGAUGGGCUACCAGCCUGUAGUUUCUGAAUCUAGCGUGGUAUCCUCUUUAAAAAAAUGAGACCACAUUAGCUAUCUUCAAGUGUCUUGACAUUGAGACAGUUUUACAUUUCAGCUUGCACACCAAUUGUUAAUUCAACAGUUUCACAGUGGAGUUUCUCAGGUGCUCUUGGGAGAAUAUCCUUUGGUCUUGGUGAUUUCUUAUAAUACCUUUUGAUAUACUUCAUGACCUCCUUCAAUAUAAGAGAGAUCCUCUGAUGUGUCCCCUGUGCUGGAGUCUCCUCGACUUCUUCCAUAGUAAAAACAGCUGCAAAAAUUGUAUUAUUUUUUCUGCAAUGCACUUAUUUUUCUAAACCUUGAUUGUCCCUUUGUAUUUUUAGUACUCUUUUUGCCUCUGUGUUUAGUCAUGCUGGCUUCCCUUGGUCUUUCUGAAAUGCUUUUGGCUAGUGGUAUGCAUUUGUUCAAAGCCCCAAUGUGGUAUCUUGAGUUUUUACACCAUACCCAAGGAUUUUACUUUUCUAACCUUCUUUUAUUCUCUCUUUAAACAGGAGAGAUAAUAAAGAAGAAUUUUAAUUUAGUGCCCCUUUUUGAAGCUAAACAUACUGCAGUAAAUUUCUUUUUUUUUCUUUUUUUCUGAAAGUCCAACAUAGGUGCUGAAUAUGAGCACUUCAUGACAACUAUUACAGAUGGCUUUCUACAAUAACAUUUCAGUCAGGUACUGUGCAUUGGUUGUGCUGGAUGCAACCAAGUUAAGAAUUGGUUUUACUCUUGCAGAUUCUUUGAGUAAUUUUUCUGUUUGACAUGGCAUCGUGCUGUAAUGUGACAUUUAUCCAAUACACUUGAGUGAAUAAAGCUGAAAGAGAACAGUACCAAUAUCAGUUUAUUGGUUUCUUUGAGUCUAAUGCCAUUCACUGUGAGGCUAGCUUAGAAUAAGAAGAAAAUGACCUCUGGCUUCUGAUAAUAAGACAUGCUUGUGGCUGUGAAAAAAAUAGGGCCUUCUAGCAUGUAGCAGUUGCCAUUAGCAAACAGGUACUUCUUUUUCAUGAUCCAGGAAAGCUAUGGCCAGCAUUCCUGAGGAUUGAAAGCUGAACAAAAUAGUUACAAGUCCGUAAGUCCUUGUCUGAUUCCAUUUUUGACAUAAAAUUCCUUUGAAAUAAAUCCUUUUUCCAUUACACAAGCUUGACUGUUAUGAAAAGAGUAGGUGGGGUUACAAAAAUAUCUGUCAGGACAGCUCAGUGCAGAAUAAAUAUGAAACAAAUAAAUACAAUCAGCAAAAUAAAAACAACAAGCAAGACAGCUUCCAUACUCCAUUUUCCUCCAGUAGAGUGGCAAGUGAGUCAUGUAAGAACUCAUAUUGCCCAUUUCAUUUAUUACUCUAGGCUGACCCAUAUACUGCUUUACAAGCUUUCCUAUUUAUUUAUUUAUUUAUUUAUUUAUUUUACUUUAAGCUCCUUGCCCUUACUGUACUGUUUGGAAAGUCACUCCAUGAGAUAAUGCCUUAGAUGUUUUAGUUUGUUUCUGCCUUACAGUCUAAAUUUAUUUAUGACAGCUUCAAUCUUAUUAUUCUCUAGCUUACAUAUUCUUGUAUAGCUUGUUAUUUACUUACCCAGUAUAUUUUAAAGAAUCAUAUCAAUUCUGAGCCAUCGUUUUGCUAGGUUAAAUAGGUCUAGGAACUUUUUAAGUCAUUGGAGCCAGAGCCAACACAGCAAUGUCUAAAAGCGAGUGGGAUUUUUAUUCUGCUGUAUGUCACAGAAGUGGUAUCAGACCACUGAACUUCAUAUAGGAGUCACAUGGCUAACAGUCUAAAUAAUAGCAAUUCUGUACUGGUUCUUUAUUAUCCUUGAGUGUCCUCCAGUUAUGCAUUAAAAAAUGGGACCCACAAUUUCUAACCCUUUGUUUUAUAAUUCUAUCAAAAAGGACUUGAUGUUAUUUAAUUGAUUUGUUUUCCUGUGAAAAUCAAGUGUCAUUACCUUUAAUGUCAUUUAUAGUGAUAGAUGGCAGACAGCCCUGCUUACAAUCGGUAUCUUGAGACAGUAAUUUAACCAUUAGGUGCUGUACAGACAUAAAAGAUGGCAUUGCCUCUGCCUUGGGUGUUUGCACAGUUAUACAUCCUCCCUCUGCCACUGCAGGCUGACCCUUCUGCUAUGGCUGAAGGGUCUUAAAGCUGAGAUACUGCUCUCCUGUUCUUGUACCUGAGACCAAAUAAUUCAUUUAGCUGUAAGUCAGUCUAACAAUUCAUUUCUUGCUGUAAAGCUUCCUGGGAGAUGAGUGCACCUCUGAGUGCUCAGGAAUUCUUUGUGUCCUGGGAGAUUCCAUUUCAAAUGAGCCUUUGCAAGGCUCAGAAUGAGUUCAGCCUGCAGUCUGGCAUGAACUGUGGAUACAUUUAAAGCUCAAAGCAUCACACAAAUAAAGAAGGAAAAUGGGAUUUUGAUACUACCAGCACAAGGAGGAUCCCUGAAUUCCUAAUUUCUGUGGUGUCCUAGCAUCCCUUUUUUAUUCCUACCAUCUCUUCCUCCUCUCUUUCCCCUACUCCUCUGCCCACCCUUCCUCCCCUUGCUACAGUCUGGAUGGGAUGCUGUCCAUCAGGCAGAAUUAUUUAUGAGAGUUCUGCAAAUGUAGAUGUACUGUUUCCAGCUAAUAGAACUCAAAUCACUUGCACUGCACCAUUAGAGAGGAAACCUACCCAAGUAAAUUAUAUACAGGCCAUAAAUGGAAGCAGUUGUAGUGUUUUUAUGAGUCUAUAAAACUCUGGAAGUUUAUUGCUAUUGAACAAACAUGUAAUCUGAUUCUUAAAGCUGAAUAUUAGAAACCAAUAAGGUCCAAAACCUUCAUUUACCUUCAGAUCUAUUACCAUGCUGAUCAUACCAUGGAAAUUAUUUUUCAGUAGCAAGUUUUGAGAACCAUUAAUAAAUCCAGGACUACUUUCUAGAAUAUCUAUCAGCUGCCCAAAACAUGGGGCAAUAUCAAAAUUCAGUGGAGCAAAGAAGUUGCUCCAGCUUAGUAUGCUCUUGUCUCUAAAGAGGUCCUUUGAGGACUUCAGUGAAGAGCUGAAAAGCAAUUGAAAGGUAUUUUGAACUUCUUAAAUUCAGUCUUCUGCAGACUGCUGCCUGUGAAGAAGUGAAAGCACAAAGUUUUUUUUUUUUCUGUUUCAUGAAGAACAUGCUGAUAAAACAUGGCAUAAACAAGCAAACCCAGGCCAAGAUGGAAUAUUUGAAAUUGGGGUUGUUGACCUGACUUGCAAGUGUUUGUAAGCCAUUGUCAGUGCAGCUGAUUUUUCUAAGUUUUGGUGAGAUUCAUCUGAAUAAAAAUGUAUGCGCAGCUGUGCACUGAGCUGAGCUAUGCCCUGUGGUGAUUAGUGGUUCAUCAGUUCUGUGGAGGCAGGAAAGUUAUGUGUGAUCAAACCUCUGAUUCAUGAUUUCUUUUCUUCAUGCUUCUGCCCCAUAUUGUUAUUUUUACAUGCACUGUUUCCAUUUGAAGACAGUCUGGCCUUUCAGUAGGGUGAGCUAGUAGGAAGAUGUUUGAACUGCUCCAUGUCUCUGUUUUCUCUCUUUUUCAGGGAUAUUCAAGGCUUGUGACACUUUGUUUUUGUUCUCAUGGCCUACAGUUUUGUGCCAGCAAGGCUGCAUCUCUGGGAGCAGAGGGAGCAGGUACAGCUCUCAGGGAGCAUCUCUGAAGGUUUAGAGGAGAACCUCUGGGCUGCCAGCUGUGGAUAAUGUCCCCUCUGUCAGACCAGUUCUUUGUGUCUGGGAAACUUUGCUCCUGUAGUGCCCCACUGCUCUGGAACCAGCAUACCUUUCCAGAUGCAUCUUGCUUUGGUAGGACAAAUGCAUAUCAGCCAAGGGAAUGAGAAUAAAUCAUUGCAAACCCUUGCUGGGGGAGGAUUCAGAAAAGAAAGGGUAGGGACAGCCUUCCUGCGCUGUUCCAGCGUCUGUUCUGGAGGGAUCGGAACACCCUAAGCCCUUUGUUCAAUCAUGAAGAGCAGGGGGGGCCAAAAUUUGGUUUUCUGGUUACAGGUUUAUUCCUAAGGCCUUCCUACAGCAGCCUGGACGCCUGGUGAAUAUAUGGAAAAGCUGAAUGUCUGCUGUGACGUGGCCCUUUACACAAAGUGUGCUGGAGUGAUGGUUGGCAUGAACAAGAUGCAUCCUGGAGAACCCUCCAAGCUCCCCUGCAGAGCUGACUCUGUGGCUGGCCACUUGCAUCUGUAUCUGGAGAGUCAAAAAUCUCUCUCAAGAUGAAAAAUUUCUAACUCAUUGUGCAUUAUGAAAUGCACAUGGCAGCAGCUGUUAAGCCUAAUGAAACCCACAGCAGGGAAGAAAACAAAGUAUCACCUACAAAAAGAACAAGCAGGGAAUGUGGACAGAUAAUUGAUAAAUACUCCUCUGAACCUCCCCCUGAAGUUAGGUAUGUUUACUGUUAGGAGCCCAUCUGACCAGUGACACUGCUGCUGCUGAACUGGGAACCCAGGGCACUGCGAAAGGUACAGACACUCUGAAGAGAUGGCUGUGAGGAAGAGGUCAUAGCACUGCAGGAUGGGUCCUUCCUCCAGCCCUGCUACCACUCCAGAAACUUCUCCAAGUGUAAAAAUCGCAAUUGCCACCAAGGACCUCUGAGAAGUCUCUUUUUUUCACCAGGUCUGAGGUGUGUUACCUUUGGUCCUGCAGGCUGGGACUGUGCCCUGCCAUCCUCACCCCACACUACUGCAGGCUCUGGGCUAAAAAUGAGCAAAGCCUGGAUCUUAUUUCACUCCAACUCUGCACGGAGGUCUUGGGAAUCUGCCUUCCCCAUCCCUGUUCUCUCUGUGCCAAGUGAUUUAUGGUCUGCUGGUGAGCAGAACAUGAUUGUAAACAGCCCAGCCCCUUUCUAAAACUGACAGCCUUUCUGACCACCAGGGAGCUGUUUCUUUUUAACUACACAUCACAAUGUCUUUAGCAAACAUCUCGAUUUUCACUCAUAGCAUUCAGUACUGAUGUAUCAAUAGACUUGUCCUACAUGUGGUUGGACAGUCCUUCUGCUUGCCAAAGUGCUGCUUGGGCUCCAGAUCUUCAAUUACUAAAUUACUUUGUGCCUUCAGACUACUUUUGGAGGUCCUCCUUUCCCAAAUCUCUGGAUGACUCUCAUUGCAUAGUGCAACACUGUCUUUAAAGGAACUGAGGAGGUGGAGAUGGUUCAUUACCUUGAACGUUAAAAUGAUUCAGGUCCUUCCAUGGCUUCUAGCUGAGACUCAGGAGAGGCCAGCAUUGUGCAAGAAAGAAUGGAAGAAAAGAUUUCCUGCCAGUCACCCAAGCAGCAAAGUUAUUCAAUAUCUAAUAUUUGCUUAAUGACAGUCAAAUCCUGCCUGAAAUGGCAGAGGUGUCAUUAUAAACUGUCUCUAGUCCUCCCUUCUUGGAAGCUCUUCCUUCUGUACAUACAGCUUGCUCAUGAAAGGCUAGAAGCUGGUGGAUCUUUCCCACAUCGUGCUUAACUGUCUGCUCUGAGGGUUUUGAGCUUCUACACAAGCAUCAGUGCCCUUUCAAGCCUGUGGACCACCUCCUUACUUCAUCACAGACCCAACCUCACUUGACAAUCUGACAGAAUGUUGAAGUUGCUGCCACGGGAGAAACUGCAGGGAAAGCAAUGAAAUCUGGUGAUGAAUUAUAUAUGGAGAAGUAUCAAAUACCAGAAUGUGAUUCAGCUCUCCAGAAUGAGAAUUCCUCUGCUUCUCCCUAAUUUGAGACCCAUCAGCCUAAAUACACCACCUGUCCCACCUAAUUGAUGCACAAAUCUGUGAUGAGGAGGUUUGUGCUCUGACAAGUAGCACUGCAGCUUUGUAAUUCUGCUUGCUUUGCAGCAGCUUGAGAUCCUGGACCAAUUUUCUGGUAGUAGUAAAAGGAUCAAAAGAAGGUACAAACUGGAUUCUUCAGAAAAUUUUAGCCCAUCACUCUCAGCAUCAUACAGUUCCUUACAGGUACACGUUAAAAACAAAAUCUUCCUCUUGUUUUCAUGGAGGUAAAUUUUUGGCAUAAAGCAGUAUGAAAACAUACUGAAAGCCUCUGAGGUUGAAUGUGACAUGCUUCACAGUAGGAUCUACACUCCCUGGGGAGAGAAACCAGUGCAAAACAAAGCAAGAGGAAGUCCUAAAAAGGAUAUUUGCCAAAGUAAAAGCAGGCAACUUCCUGUACAAAAUAUGUUUGUUCAUAGGCCACAAUGAUAAAGUAGGUUUGAUCUCUGCCUGCAGCUCAUCUUAAAUUGGAAAUGAAUAUCCCUAGACAUUUGUAUGAGUAUAUUAAAAGCAAACCAAACCCCAAACCCAACAUGACUCUUUGGGAUAUAGGAAGAGUGGUAGCAUGGGAAGUGUGGCAUAGCUUUGUUCAGAGUUUUUGCAAAAGUAUGCAUGCUUAAUAAAUGUGAGUCACAAAGUACACAGUUAAUGGUUCAAUUGUCUGUGAAUAUUUCAUAAAAUUGUUAUUUGAAAAAUAUUUGUUAGUGCCAAGAUUGUUAUGUGAAUUAGUACACUGAUUAAUGAGCUGGCUGAACAAAGAUCUGACAAUUUGAGACUAUCCAUUUAGAAACCACGAGUGCAGGUCAUGAUGAGCAGAUAGGCAGGAGUAGGGGAAGGAAAAAGGGGGAACUUGUGAAAUAUUAAGUAUGAAAAGGACUUGGGAGUCUGAUGGAAACAUAUGGAAUGUGAAUGUCCAAUGGUAUACAAAAGCAACAUUUACCCAGGAUCUGGAUUUUAUUCUGAAGAUAUGUUUCCAUCUCCGUGAGUAAUUGGAGAAAUAGUUGCCAGAAGGUAUACUUUAUCUUCUGAGCAGGCUGCCUUCAUGGCGUACAUACUGGGGCUGUUUUUGUAUAGGCAUCUUUCAAUGAUCCCUGGGCUCGAACUCUACAGUCUUAUGUCCAUACCUAAUAAUUUCUUAUGGUUAUGCACAUCCAGACAGUACAUGAUACUCUAGUGUUAAAAAUCAGCUUUCCUUCCAUUUCUAGCUCUGCAAUAAAUAACUGUUAAGUGAGUCUAGUAGCCCCUUGAAGUAGUAGAAGAGAUCAAAUAUGUACAAAAUAGUUUAAUAUAACAAGCCCUUCUCAAAAGAAAAAAAUAAAAUAUGCAAUCCUUGCAGAUGAUGGAUUCAGCUUCUUUGAAAUGAUAUGAUUUACAAUUAUUUUUGCUCACUACCUGCAGCAGUCUCUGACUUUGGCUUUAUGUUUGAGUGGCUUUCCUGGAGACAAGACAUGACCACAAGAUGGUUCUGCUCAGAGUAGUAGCUGCUGCAGGUGCAGAAGAGUCUAAAAAGAGAGGAAACAUAAUGAUACUUCCCCAAUAUCUCCUUGUAGCUUCCAGUGACUUGCAGCACAAGGACCCCAUGAGAGAAGAUGGUAUCCCUGUGUUUAAUGGUUUGGGAUAGUUUUUUCAUCAGUGGAUUUUUCUGAGGAUUCGCGUCCAAUUUUAGCCUUUGCUGCAUUUGGUGAUGGUGAAUUAUCUUCUGUUGGUUUAGUUUGCCACCAUCUAUGCUAGUCCAAUGCCCCUUGUUUCCUGUACUAUAUGAGUUAUUUACCCUCUCUAGUCCACUCCCAAAUCUCAUUAUUUUCCCCUCACUUUUUUUUUUAUAUAAAUGAAGAGAUCUAAUGUGCUUCUUAUUCCAGACUUCUGAUCAUAUACGUUGCCUUGUCCCUGACCCUUUUCCAGCACUACUCCAUCCUUUUUGAGAUGCUGACUCAGUGUUGAGGAUGGGAUGCAGAUACACCAGUGAUGUAUGCAAUGACAAAACUCUCUUUUCAGUUUUGCCCUUUUUUCCUUCCUUAAUACAUUCCAACAUCAAUUUCCUUUAUCUCUGAGUUGAUAUUUUCAUGAGACCAUGUGUUAUAAAACACCAAAUCUCUUCAUCCACUAUGUCUUCAAGAACUCUUUCCUGAGCAGUAAUAGCUAUCUGAAAACCUAUCAUUAUGGAUGUAAAUGUAGGGUUUUUCUCCUCAUGUUGCAUAAUUCUAUGUUUAUCUAUGCCAAAUUUCAA